Molecule: ribosomal RNA, 253 nt
Filed under: uncultured bacterium
Lineage: Bacteria
Description: partial 16S ribosomal RNA
Rfam family: Bacterial small subunit ribosomal RNA
Source: RNAcentral
UACAGGGGGUGCAAACGUUGCUCGGAAUCAUUGGGCGUAAAGCGCACGUAGGCGGUCUGUCACGUCGGCUGUGAAAACCCGAGGCUCAACCUCGGGCCUGCAGUCGAUACGGGCAAACUAGAGUACUGCAGGGGAGACUGGAAUUCCUGGUGUAGCGGUGAAAUGCGCAGAUAUCAGGAGGAACACCGGUGGCGAAGGCGGGUCUCUGGGCAGUAACUGACGCUGAGGAGCGAAAGCGUGGGGAGCGAACAGG